GAUCGCAGUGAUGGCUGGCCAGGCCCCUGUCCUACAUAGGCCUCUGCUCUGGGGAUGAUGGCCAGUCCUGGUGUCUGAGUGAUU
Loxodonta africana (African savanna elephant) is the source of this 84-nucleotide small nucleolar RNA. Ensembl annotates it as small nucleolar RNA SNORD86. The record is from Ensembl. NCBI's taxonomy places the organism in Eukaryota, Metazoa, Chordata, Mammalia, Proboscidea, Elephantidae.